RNAcentral lists this ribosomal RNA (560 nucleotides) under uncultured bacterium. Its description in RNAcentral is "bacterial SSU rRNA". It matches the Rfam family "Bacterial small subunit ribosomal RNA", at positions 28 to 585 of the family's 1533-position model. The record is from RNAcentral.
AGUGAACGCUGGCGGCAUGCCUUACACAUGCAAGUCGAACGGUAGAGGGCUUCGGCCCUUGAGAGUGGCGAACGGGUGAGUAGAGCAUCGGAACGUACCCUGUCGAGGGGGAUAACGUAGCGAAAGUUACGCUAAUACCGCAUGAGACCUUAGGGUGAAAGUGGGGGACUGGAAACGGCCUCACGCGAUGGGAGCGGCCGAUGUCGGAUUAGCUAGUUGGUGGGGUAAAGGCCUACCAAGGCGACGAUCCGUAGCGGGUCUGAGAGGAUGAUCCGCCACACUGGGACUGAGACACGGCCCAGACUCCUACGGGAGGCAGCAGUGGGGAAUUUUGGACAAUGGGCGCAAGCCUGAUCCAGCCAUGCCGCGUGGGUGAAGAAGGCCUUCGGGUUGUAAAGCCCUUUCGGCCGGGAAGAAAUCGUGCGGGCGAACAGUCUGCAUGGAUGACGGUACCGGAAGAAGAAGCACCGGCUAACUACGUGCCAGCAGCCGCGGUAAUACGUAGGGUGCGAGCGUUAAUCGGAAUUAUUGGGCGUAAAGCGUGCGCAGGCGGCGCCAUA